Molecule: ribosomal RNA, 447 nt
Filed under: uncultured bacterium
Lineage: Bacteria
Description: bacterial SSU rRNA
Rfam family: Bacterial small subunit ribosomal RNA
Source: RNAcentral
UGGGGAAUUUUGGACAAUGGGCGCAAGCCUGAUCCAGCCAUACCGCGUGAGUGAAGAAGGCCUUAGGGUUGUAAAGCUCUUUUGGCGGGGACGAUAAUGACGGUACCCGCAGAAUAAGCCCCGGCUAACUUCGUGCCAGCAGCCGCGGUAAUACGAAGGGGGCUAGCGUUGUUCGGAAUUACUGGGCGUAAAGCGCACGUAGGCGGAUUUGUCAGUCAGGGGUGAAAUCCCGAGGCUCAACCUCGGAACUGCCUCCGAUACAGCAAGUCUCGAGUCCGGAAGAGGUGAGUGGAAUUCCUAGUGUAGAGGUGAAAUUCGUAGAUAUUAGGAAGAACACCAGUGGCGAAGGCGGCUCACUGGUCCGGUACUGACGCUGAGGUGCGAAAGCGUGGGGAGCAAACAGGAUUAGAUACCCCAGUAGUCCCUGAGCGGGCUGGCAAGGCGCAU